UGGAAAGGCUCUCAGCAAAAGCCAGCCAGAAUGCUCCACGCUUUGGUUUUCCCAUCCAGACGGGGCUGCUGACCACACGCCGCGUCAGCUCCCAGGCAUCCCACGGCUCCGUAACCGCGUGGGAGCCCCGGCUGGGACCAAACCAUGGAGCCUCAUCUGCUGCUUUACUGGGAAAAAAAAAGUGGAGCGGGCUGUGAAACUCAGGGAAAAAUCACUCUACAACAGAGAAAGACAUUAUUUUCAUAGCACCGACACCCAGUUCGGUUUGACUCCCACAUUUACUUUUCUACGGACUUCUGUAUUGUUACGUUCGUGUGUAGCCUUAAUUAAAUAAACCAUAGCUUUUGCAGCAACAUCAUAGCAUGGAAACCCAAACAAUUUGUCCUGACAUCAUUUAACUUCUUCUUCUUUCUUUCGCUUCUUCUUGUCAAAAUAUUCAUCCGAGCUGGUGCGUUCACACGGAGUGUUUAGAUUUUGGAGACAUUUUUACAACCUAUUUGCAUUUUUAUGGAAAACUGUUCCAUCUGUUUAUUUCCCUGCUGCAGCCAGCGGGGACGGCUGGCAGUGGGGUUGGGAGCGCCCGGCCGCGGGCACGGCAGCACCAGGACUCGUUUCCUAUCUGCUCUCAGGUCCCACUGCCAAACCAAUCCCCCCAUACACCCACCCUGCAGAUUCCGGGACCCAAACUUGGCCGAUCGUUGGCAAAGUCCAGACCUUGGCUUAUUCCUUUGGGCAGCGGACACAGCUGAACGCAAUCAGCGCUGCUUUCAGGAGCUCCUCCUGCCUCCAGGAUACAAACAGCAGCCGGGUGUCCUCAGACGUGGGAUGUCUCCCCAGCACCACCACGUUGACGGUGCCUUCCAAAGCUAUAGCCCGGAGUGCCCUUGUGCUGGGAGCAAGCUCUGCAGCGCCAGCUGGACAGACAGCCAAGGACAGCCAUCCUCCCCAUCUCCUUGUGGUCUCUGUCCAGGACAGGUCAAGCUCAGGCGCUAAAACCGGAACGGCUGUGAUUGUGCUAUUUGAUAAAGGCAGAUGCCCAUAGAGCCUCUGCAAGUGGAUGAUGCUUUUGGGAUCUCCAAAGUGCACACAGAUGCACACAGGUGAAAUUUCAUUGCUUGUAUGAUAAUAUGUGUAAAAAUAAUAAUGAUACUCCUUGAAUCAUAGAGUCACAGUACCAUUAACAUCGGAAAAGACCUCUGAGACCCCCAAUCCCAGCCCACCCCCACCAUGCCCAUGGGCCAUACCCCUUACUAACACAAUCCUACAGUUCUGGAACACCCCCAGGGAAGUUCC
RNAcentral lists this long non-coding RNA (1293 nucleotides) under Gallus gallus (chicken). Lineage: Eukaryota; Metazoa; Chordata; Aves; Galliformes; Phasianidae. The record is from RNAcentral.